Molecule: transfer RNA, 69 nt
Filed under: Camelus bactrianus (Bactrian camel)
Lineage: Eukaryota; Metazoa; Chordata; Mammalia; Artiodactyla; Camelidae
Also listed under: 1 other name
Rfam family: tRNA
About the family: Transfer RNA (tRNA) molecules are approximately 80 nucleotides in length.
Source: Rfam by way of RNAcentral
GGAGAUAGCUCAGUGGUAGAGUGCCUGCUUAGCAUGCAUGAAGUCCUGGUUCAAUCCCCAGGACCUCCA